AGGUUAAGCUACUAAGAGCAUAGGGUGAAUGCCUAGGCACCAAAAGCCGAUGAAAGACGUGACAAGCUGCGAUAAGCCUUGGGGAGGAGCACAUAUCCUUUGAUCCAGGGAUUUCUGAAUGAGGAAACUCAGCUGGGAAAAAGAGCCCAGUUAUCCACACAUGAGUAAAGUAGUGUGUGAGAAGGGAACGUGGAGAACUGAAACAUCUUAGUACCCACAGGAAAAGAAAGAAAAAUCGAUAUCGAAAGUAGUGGCGAGCGAAAUCGAUAGAGCCCAAACCAGAAUCAGUAAUGAUACUGGGGUUCGGACAGCAUAAUUGAUUAAACGAGGAUAGCAAAACUGUUUUGGAAAAGCAGACUAUAAAGGGUGAAAGUCCCGUAUGCGAAAUUCAAGUUUACAUGGCUGUAUCCAGAGUAGUGCGAGACACGAGAAAUCUCGUAUGAAUGAGCGGGGACCAUCCCGUAAGGCUAAAUACUAAUUGGUGACCGAUAGCGAACUAGUACCGUGAGGGAAAGGUGAAAAGAACCCCGGGAGGGGAGUGAAAUAGAAUCUGAAACCCUAUGUUUACAAGCAGACAGAGCGAUUUAAGGCGCGAUGUCGUACUUUUUGUAGAACGGUCCAGCGAGUUAUAGUGCAUGGCAAGGUUAAGUUUUAAGUAAGGAACGGAGCCGAAGCGAAAGCGAGUCUGAAUAGGGCGAAUUAAGUCAUGCGUUAUAGACCCGAAACCGGGUGACCUAUCCAUGGUCAGGAUGAAGCAAGAGUAAAAUCUUGUGGAGGUCCGAACUGAUUGUCGUUAAAAAGGCACCGGAUGAACUGUGGAUAGCGGAGAAAUUCCAAUCGAACUCGGAGAUAGCUGGUUCUCCUCGAAAUAGCUUUAGGGCUAGCCUUGGAGGAAGACGAAUGGAGGUAGAGCACUGAAUGAGGUAGGGGCCUAACCAGGUUACCGAACUCUAUCAAACUCCGAAUGCCAUUCGUUAAUAUCCAGGAGUCAGACUACGGGAGCUAAGUUCCGUGGUCAAAAGGAAAAGAGUCCAGAUCGUCAAUUAAGGUCCCAAAUGGAUAGCUAAGUGGAAAACGAUGUGAUUUUGCGUAAACAACCAGGAUGUUGGCUCAGAAGCAGCCAUUCAUUAAAAGAGUGCGUAAUAGCUCACUGGUCGAGUGAAAUUGCGCGGAAAAUUACCGGGGCUAAGUUAUCAACCGAAAUUGCGGAUUUGUAAUUUAUUACAAGUGGUAGAGGAGCAUUCUAUUGUAGGAUGAAGUCAGAGCGUGAGCACUGGUGGACGAGAUAGAAGAGAGAAUGCUGGAAUAAGUAGCGAGAGCAGGGUGAGAAUCCCUGCCGUCGAAAGUCUAAGGUUUCCUGGGGAAGGUUCGUCCGCCCAGGGUUAGUCAGGACCUAAGGAGAGGCCGAAAGGCGUAUCUGAUGGAUAGCAGGUUGAUAUUCCUGCACUAUAUAAUACUUAAAAGAUGCAACUGACGCAGAAGUGGAAGGUGAGCAAGGAAAUGGAAAAACUUGUUCCGCAAGGGGGAGUGAAAAUAAAGUAACGAAGCACCAAGAAGCACGCUGACGAGAAAAGGUUGUAGAUCUUGUAUUAUAUACUUGUACCGCAAACCGACACAGGUAGAUGAGGAGAGGAUCCUAAGACGAUCGGGAGAAGCAUUGUUAAGGAACUCGGCAAAUUGACCCCGUAACUUUGGAAGAAGGGGUACUGGUGUAACAGCCAGUCGCAGAGAAUUGUCCCAAGCAACUGUUUAACAAAAACAUAGGUUUCUGCUAAAUCGAAAGAUGAAGUAUAGGAGCUGACGCCUGCCCAGUGCUGGAAGGUUAAGGGAACGUGUUAAUAGUAAUAUGAAGCACCGAACUGAAGCCCCAGUGAACGGCGGCCGUAACUAUAACGGUCCUAAGGUAGCGAAAUUCCUUGUCAGGUAAGUUCUGACCCGCACGAAAGGCGUAAUGAUUUGGGAGCUGUCUCGACAAUGUCCCCGGCGAAAUUGUAGUACUAGUGAAGAUGCUAGUUACCUGCGACAAGACAGAAAGACCCCAUGGAGCUUUACUGCAGUUUGAUACUGAGUCAGGCUAAUUUAUGUACAGGAUAGUUAGGAGACUAUGAGGCUUAAGCGCCAGCUUAAGAAGAGUCAACGUUGGGAUACUAACCUUAAAUUAGUUUGAAUCUAACUCGUGAUCGUAAUCCGGUCAGAGGACAAUGUCAGACGGGCAGUUUGACUGGGGCGGUCGCCUCCUAAAG
RNAcentral lists this ribosomal RNA (2243 nucleotides) under Porphyromonas sp. RNAcentral describes it as "partial 23S ribosomal RNA". It matches the Rfam family "Bacterial large subunit ribosomal RNA", at positions 1 to 2295 of the family's 2925-position model. The record is from RNAcentral. Lineage: Bacteria; Pseudomonadati; Bacteroidota; Bacteroidia; Bacteroidales; Porphyromonadaceae.